This 1053-nucleotide ribosomal RNA is filed under the name Triticum aestivum (bread wheat). Its description in RNAcentral is "partial small subunit ribosomal RNA". The record is from RNAcentral. Lineage: Eukaryota; Viridiplantae; Streptophyta; Magnoliopsida; Poales; Poaceae.
AUGUCUCCUCAAGAUAACUCAUCCAGGCGCAUCACCAUGCCCUCCUCACUUGUCACUGUCGAUCACACCGAGCUCUGCAUCGAUGGCAUUGUGUGCGGUCUCGAGGUCUUCAUCGAGGAAUAUGUCCCAGUGCCCAUCCCAGCGGAUGAAGAACUCCGUGUCCUCCAAGUACUUGACACGGUGCACGUCCCCAGCAGGCGUGAACAGGAAGUCCCCGUCGACGAGGCCAUAGCUCUCCUUCUUGGUCAAGUUCCACACCUUCUUCUUGCCCUUGAUCACCACCAGGUCGUGGCCGAAGGUGUGGUGGUGGGCCGGCUCCACGCUUCCAGCUUUGAACCGCACGUAGGCCGAAGUGGGGCUCUCCCGCACAAUCCGCAUCUCGCCGCCGGGCAUGAUGUCCACCGGCUCGAACUCCAUCCCCUUCCUCAGGCAGCAGAUGGCGCAGGCGGAGUCCGGCGCAGGAGGGGCCGCCAAUCCCUCGGGGAUGGAGGCCAUCUCGCCGGGGGCAACGUCAAAGAACUUCUGAAUGUCCUCCGGCCAAGGGGCGUCGCCGGACGCGGGGCAGGGGGCGCGGAAGGGGGUGGCGAGCCAGGCGUCGGCGAUGACCGCGGCGGCCUCCGGCGGGGUGGCCAUGCCGGAGAGGGCGAGGACGUUGCAGGCGUUGAUGGAGCGGGUGUUGACGGCGUCGGCGGCGGAGCUGCAGUGGGUGGCGUACACGCCGGGGUACUUGUUGGCGAAGAUGGUGACGCCGGCGCCGGUGCCGCAGACGACGACGCCGCGGGGCUCGAGCGCGGGGUCGGGGACCGAGGAGGAGACGCUGCGGGCGACGGCGGCGGCCGCGGAGUAGUACUUGUCGACGCCGAGGUCGACGACGUCGGCGACGGAGGAGUGGGCGCGGAGGUGCGCGACGACGGCGUCCUUGAGCGGCUCCCCGAAGCCGUCGGCGGCCGCGAAGAUCUUGAAGCGGCGGCUGCCGGUGGAGGCGGCCAUCGGCGGUUGACUUGCGGGGCUCGAUCUGAGAUUUGGGUGCGGAGCAGAGGAAGCAGUGGUUAG